GCUUUCGUGGUGUAGUGGUCAACACACUUGGCGCGUAUUCGAGAGGUCCGUGGUUCGAGUCCCGGCGAGGCCA
Molecule: transfer RNA, 73 nt
Filed under: Stegodyphus mimosarum
Lineage: Eukaryota; Metazoa; Arthropoda; Arachnida; Araneae; Eresidae
Rfam family: tRNA
About the family: Transfer RNA (tRNA) molecules are approximately 80 nucleotides in length. Their secondary structure includes four short double-helical elements and three loops (D, anti-codon, and T loops).
Source: Rfam by way of RNAcentral